Asparagus officinalis (garden asparagus) is the source of this 4309-nucleotide RNA transcript. It is a transcript of the gene named nuclear pore complex protein NUP133, with no coding region annotated. The transcript has 8 exons. The record is from RefSeq and is a predicted model, not a curated record. Lineage: Eukaryota; Viridiplantae; Streptophyta; Magnoliopsida; Asparagales; Asparagaceae.
UUGACGAUGGUUCCCAACCGACCUUCCACUGGACCCCACCCCCUGGUCUUCUCGCCUCUCUGUCCUCGCCUAGUAACCUUCUAUGCCUGUCCAUGUGUUGAUGGAUUGCCUUGGUUUUGGAUCUUCAGAUAUAACCACCUUCACUUGUCUUCAGAAUUCCAUCGGCAAAUAGAGGCGAGAAAGGGCCGCCGCCGCGCCGCCGCCGAUUCGGGAGACCAAACUCAACCUGUGUACGUUGGGGAGUUUCCCCAAGUCGUUCGUGAUGCCCAAGCCCUUCCUGUGCAAAAAUCUAUUCCCGGCGACGACAACAUGCCUGCUGGUGGCAUGGACAAGGAAUCAUCCCUGUCCUGGAUGAUAUGUGGAAACCAGCUCUUCAUCUGGAGCUACUUAUCCGCCACUCUUUCGAGGGGAUGCUCCGUACUUGAGAUCCCACCUCCUGCACUCGGCAGUGCUGAUACCACCACCACCACCCCCACUAGUACAAAACCAUCCGGGCAUGCGAAUCCCUGGAUGGUCUGUAUAGUGAGGUGGGACGUUGCAUCCACACACAGCGACAAGGCUGUAGCACGCUGCAAGUCUGCUGGAGCUGUCCUCUGCAACCGGAGGACUCGAGCUCUCGCAUAUUGGCCUGACAUUUACGUGGGUGGUGGGAACUCCCCCAUUCUUAGCCUCCCCCCUCCAGAAGAAGCGGAAGAGAUCGGUCUGUCGGGUGAUGGAGCUGAUUCCUCGUCCGAAUAUGAUUGGUUCAACUCCUUUAUUGCCUCAGCAAUCCCUGGUACCUCCCAUGAAUGCAUCGUGAUAGGUUGCCAAUCUAAUGGCAACUUGUGGCUUUUCCAUCUCACUCCCACCGGAGCAUCUCGAAAAAGAGCUUCUCAAAGUGCGUGCGGUGACAGUUGCGCUGAUCGUUCUCCUCUGCAAAGUAAAGGGCAAGCUAGGUCGAUCAUCUGGCGUCUGCAACAUGUUUCCUCGCGGGAUUCUUCCCGAGAAUUCUUUCUGUUGACUAAUAAUGAGAUUCAGUGUUGGAACGUGGUGUUGGCACGUGAUGUAAACAUUGCAAGGGUUUGGUCUCAAGAGAUUGUUGGUAGUGAUGGCGAUUUAGGUAUUAAAAAGGAUUUGGCAGGCCAGAAGCACAUAUGGCUUUUGGACUUUCAGGUAGAUGACCGGGGAAAGGAUUUUACUAUUCUUGUAGCUACCUUCUGUAUGGACAGGGUGAGCAGUUCAAGCUACACUCAGUAUUCUCUUCUGACAAUGCAGUAUAAACCUGUUCAACAUCAAGAACUGAUCGGCUCUAUGACUGAGCGCAUUUUGGAGAGAAAAGCUCCCCUUCAAGUUAUUAUUCCAAAGGCAAGGGUGGAGGACGAGAGUUUCUUGCUUUCGAUGAGGUUGCGUAUCGGCGGAAAGCCGUCUGGAUCUGCUAUUAUAUUAUCAGGGGACGGAACUGCAACUGUGACCAAUUAUUGGAGGGGUUCCACACGGCUUUAUCAGUUUGAUUUACCAUGGGAUGCAGGCAGAGUCCUAGAUGCUUCUGUUUUCCCAUCUGCUGAGGAAAGUGACGAAGGAUCCUGGGUUGUCCUAACUGAGAAGGCUGGUAUAUGGGCAAUACCUGAAAAGGCAGUCCUACUAGGUGCGGUUGAACCGCCUGAGCGAAGCUUGUCUCGCAAGGGAAGUUCAAAUGAAGGGGUUGCAGAAGAAGAAAAACGGAUUCAGGCAUUUGGCAGCAAUAUUACACCGAGGAGGGUUAGUUCUGAUGCAUGGAGUACUGGAGGCAGACAAAGGACAGUUUUGACUGGCAUUGGUCAGAGAACUGCUCAAGAUGAAGAGGCAGAAGCAUUACUUGGUCGCCUGUUUAAUGAAUUCAUUUUGUCUGGUGAAGUUGAGGGGGCAUUUGAGAAGCUCAGAGUAAAAGGAGCAUUUGAAAAAGAAGGUGAAACAAAUGUUUUUGCUCGAGUGAGCAAAUCUAUUGUAGACACGUUACCUAAGCACUGGACAACUACCAAAGGAGCUGAGUUUGUUGCGUCAGCUGUUGUAUCAUCUUUGCUCCUGGAUAAACAACAGAAACAUCAAAAGUAUCUCCAGUUUCUUGCUUUGUCGAAAUGCCAUGAGGAACUGUCAUCUAAGCAGAGACAAUCUUUGUUGACUGUCAUGGAACACGGUGAAAAACUUUCUGGUAUUAUCCAAUUGAGGGAAUUGCAGAAUCUACUUAGCCAGAAUCACCCUGAAGGGUCUGAUUCUCCACCUUCUCACUCAGGAGAUCAAGUGGCUGGUGCUUUGUGGGAUCUCAUUCAGUUGGUUGGCGAGAAAGCUCGAAGAAAUACUGUUCUUCUCAUGGAUCGAGAUAAUGCUGAAGUAUUUUAUAGCAAGGUUUCCGACAUCGAGGAACUAUUCAAUUGUAUGUCCCAUCACCUUCCUCAUAUAAUUGGUGAACAUCCCUAUAAACUACAGAUGAAAAGAGCUUAUGAAAUAGCAAGUGCAUGUACAACUUUGAUUCAUGCUGCCAUGAGAUACAGGGAUGAAUAUCAGACUUGGUAUCCAUCUCCUGAGAGAUUAACGCCAUGGAAUUGUCAAUCUGUUGUCCGAUCCGGUCUGUGGAACAUUUCAUCUUUCAUCAUGCAGCUGCUAAGGGAAACAACAGUAAUUGACAUGUUAAUGAAAUCUAAUUUGUGGUCUCAGCUAGAAAAGCUUACAGAUAUUUUGCUGGAUGCAUACACUGGUUUGAUCACUAGUAAAAUUGAACGAGGGGAGGAACAUAGGGGCCUGAAAGAAGAAUACUGUAAAAGGAGGGAUGAGCUUCUUUGUUCCUUAUAUGAACUAACCAAAAGAUUUACAGAUGCAAAAUACCAGGAUUCAUGCAAGGGUGUUGAAAACUUUGAGCUAAAGGAGGCUAUUUUUAGAGAGGCUGCUUCUCCUCUACUAUCAAUUGCUAAGCGGCAUGAAGGCUACCAAACUUUAUGGUGUAUCUGCUAUGACCUCAAUGAUACAGCAUUCCUUCGAAACCUUAUGCAUGACAGUGUUGGACCUAAGGGAGGAUUCAGCUAUUUUGUUUUCAAGCAGCUGAUUAAACGCAGACAAUAUGCUAACCUGCUGAGACUUGGGGAAGAAUUCCAAGAGCAGCUGUCUAGCUUUCUGAAGGAGCAUAAACAUCUUUUCUGGCUACAUGAGAUAUUUUUAAAUCAGUUUUCCUGUGCUGCGGAGACUCUUCAUGCAUUAGCUAUAUCUCAGGAUGAUACUUCUGCCUUAGAAAAUGAAGAAACAGAGCCUACAAAACUAACGCCACUGCCAUCUUUGGCAGAUAGAAGGCGCCUACUUAAUCUUUCUAAGAUUGCUGCGGCAGCAGGUAAAGAUGAAGGUUUUGAAAUGAAGAUGGUCCUCAUAGAAGCUGAUUUGCGUAUCCUAAAACUUCAGGAAGAGAUUAUGAGACAUUAUCCCUAUCGUGAAGAAGUACAAGACAUCAACAAGCUCUUGCCCCCAAGAGAACUGAUUGAGAUGUGUUUGAAAGUUAAAAGCCGAGAGUUAUCCUUACUAGCUUUUGAAGUAUUCGCAUGGACAAGCUCCUCCUUUCGGAUUGCAAACAGAAGCCUUCUGGAGGAAUGCUGGAAGAAUGCAGUUGACCAGAAUGAUUGGGCUGCUCUCAGUCAGGCUUCAACUGCGGAAGGGUGGAGUGAUGAAGUGGUACUAGAAACUAUGAAAGAAACCAUCCUUUUCAAGGCAUCACAACGUUGUUACGGUCCUGAAGCUGAGAUGUAUGAUGGGGAUUUUGAUGAAGCCUUGCCUCUGCAGAAAGAAGAUGCGGAAAUGCCAGGCCCUUCAGUGGAAGGUAUCCUGAUGCUGCACAAGGAUUUUCCAGAUGCAGGUAAGCUAAUGCUGACUGCACUUAUGAUGGGCAAAGAAGCCUUCAACAACAUUUUUGAAGAGGAAGAGGAGGCUAUGGAUUUCUGAUUGUAAAUUUUGGUAUCUCAUGAAAGCUGUUGGAUUGGUUGGGUGUGCUGCCAUGGGGGUUUUGCAAGAAGAUGGAUGUAGUACUAUCGCCGCUGGCAUUUUGAUAGAAACUGUUACAACAGCAAUGCAUCUGGUUAGAAAGUCAUAGUGGCUUGGUAAUGUGGAAGUAAGAGUGAUGGCAGAUAUGGGGUUGCGCUUAAUCAAUUUUUUUAAACUAUUUGUUCUUUAGGUUGUGGCAACACCCGAUCCAUGUUCGAUCAAACAUCAAUAUGCAUAUAUAGUCUUCAUUCUCCAAAACAACUAUGUACGUAUGUAUGUACGCGCGCGCUUAAUAUAUCCUAUGUUAGCAGCAAUAAAGAAUAAGAAUCAUGUA